Molecule: non-coding RNA, 824 nt
Organism: Pelobates cultripes (western spadefoot toad)
Lineage: Eukaryota; Metazoa; Chordata; Amphibia; Anura; Pelobatidae
Source: the annotation of a GenBank genome assembly
CUGGGUUCUAUGACCAGUUUGAGAAGCGAAUAAUGAAAGGUUAGAUAAAAUAAAUGGUUGUUUUGUUUCAGGCACUUCUGUUCAUCAUCAUAGAUUAAAAUUGUGUCAUCCAAUUCAUGAGAAAUUUGCUCUAGGUCAACACAAGUAAGUUUUUCCAUCAAACUUUAAUUACCUGCAUCUAUUAAUGCAUUGCUACUCAAACACGUAACAAUAUGUUUCACAGUUAACCAUUUUAACCAGGUCUUUCAUAUAGUCCCAUGGUAAUUAUACGACUGAGGGUUUCAGAUACCAAUUUUAAUUCAAGAAUCUUGAAACUUUAUAAUGAUUAAAAGGGAAUGAUUUGAUUAAAAUAGUUUUAACCAAUUUUGCUUUAAACAUCUGUGUAACAUAAAAUAACUCUCUGCUUUGCACAUAAAGUCAAAUGGCUUGGCCCAUGAUUUGUAGCAGCAAACAAUCAUUCCUGUGAACAAUGAAAUACCUAGCACCUUUUAAUAACCCUUAUGGAAACAGCAGAUGGUGGCAUCACAAAUGAGCCCAAUUGUGAUGGAAUGCAUAGUCUCAAAGGAACUCAAAAUGCCACUGUAACAGGAUUCCUAUAAAUAUCAACUACAUGUAUUUCCUAUAAGAGACCCUGGUAUUAAUUCCAGUUCAGGUGGGGGGGCAUAAAGUUCUGUCUUAAUGCCUAAAUAUUUAGGAUACCCAAAAGCUCCAUGUCUCCUUUCAGACCCUCUAAAAAUCUUUUGGAAAAGCUUAAUUACAAAUUUAUAACAAAAGCCAUUGGUCUGAGCUUCUUUUGGAAAUAAGUGAAAAGAGGAUUAAAAAAC